UUUGGUAUGUGUAACUGGCGAAACGUAGAUCACUACGGGGGAGCACAUAUUCCAUAACAGCCGUUCGCCUGGGCAAAGUAU
Molecule: non-coding RNA, 81 nt
Filed under: Paenibacillus sp.
Lineage: Bacteria; Bacillati; Bacillota; Bacilli; Caryophanales; Paenibacillaceae
Description: ZTP sequence
Rfam family: ZMP/ZTP riboswitch aptamer (pfl RNA motif)
About the family: Previously known as pfl RNA. ZMP is also known as AICAR.
Source: RNAcentral